GACGAACGCUGGCGGCGUGCUUAACACAUGCAAGUCGAACGGAAAGGCCCUGCUUUUGUGGGGUGCUCGAGUGGCGAACGUGUGAGUAACACGUGAGUAACCUGCCCUGGACUUUGGGAUAACUUCAGGAAACUGGGGCUAAUACCGGAUAGGAGCUCCUGCUGCAUGGUGGGGGUUGGAAAGUUUCGGCGGUUGGGGAUGGACUCGCGGCUUAUCAGCUUGUUGGUGGGGUAGUGGCUUACCAAGGCUUUGACGGGUAGCCGGACUGAGAGGGUGACCGGCCACAUUGGGACUGAGAUACGGCCCAGACUCCUACGGGAGGCAGCAGUGGGGAAUAUUGCACAAUGGGCGGAAGCCUGAUGCAGCAACGCCGCGUGCGGGAUGACGGCCUUCGGGUUGUAAACCGCUUUCGCCUGUGACGAAGCGUGAGUGACGGUAAUGGGUAAAGAAGCACCGGCUAACUACGUG
RNAcentral lists this ribosomal RNA (468 nucleotides) under uncultured bacterium. RNAcentral describes it as "partial 16S ribosomal RNA". It matches the Rfam family "Bacterial small subunit ribosomal RNA", at positions 28 to 507 of the family's 1533-position model. The record is from RNAcentral.